Molecule: ribosomal RNA, 467 nt
Filed under: uncultured bacterium
Lineage: Bacteria
Description: bacterial SSU rRNA
Rfam family: Bacterial small subunit ribosomal RNA
Source: RNAcentral
CCCAGACUCCUACGGGAGGCAGCAGUGAGGAAUAUUGGUCAAUGGCCGGAAGGCUGAACCAGCCAAGCCGCGUGAAGGACGAAGGUGCCAAGCAUUGUAAACUUCUUUUGUCAAGGGACAAAAUCAGGCUCGAGAGCCUGACCGAGGGUACUUGAAGAAAAAGCAUCGGCUAACUCCGUGCCAGCAGCCGCGGUAAUACGGAGGAUGCGAGCGUUAUCUGGAUUUAUUGGGUUUAAAGGGUGCGUAGGCGGGCAUUUAAGCCGGCGGUCAAAUGUCGGGGCUCAACCCCGGCCUGCCGUCGGAACUGGGUGCCUUGAGUGGGCGAGAAGUAUGCGGAAUGCGUGGUGUAGCGGUGAAAUGCAUAGAUAUCACGCAGAACCCCGAUUGCGAAGGCAGCAUACCGGCGCCCUACUGACGCUGAGGCACGAAAGUGCGGGUAUCGAACAGGAUUAGAUACCCGAGUACAG